UAAAAUAAGAAUUCAGAAACUAUAAACCGGCUCUCUUCUAGCUUACGACACAAACUAUGAGUGAGAAAAGGACAAAUGAUUCGCUCUUUGCUUCAUUUUUUCCGAGGUUGUCACAACAUGAAAUGUCAUUUGGACCUAUUGGACUCAUUUUAACUCGGCCAAAUACAUAGUAACAUACAUAAGAAGAUUUUACUUAUAUUUACCGAACUAUUUGACACGGUCGCGUCAACUGUGUUUACGAGUGUCUUGUGUUCAGAUUGUUUUAAGUGAUAAUUUAACAAUAUUUUUCCAAAUAAAUGGAAAGAAACUUUUAUUUAUAUCAAAUAAUUGAGUGUCUCGACUGUGUGACAUUAUGUCUUUUGUGGUAUGGGGCUGCAGCUCACAUUCAGGAAGAAAAGAAAAUAGCCAACAACUUCUGUCGUUUCAUCGAUAUUAAAUCCAAAAGUGUCGACUGGAUUUACAUGAAAAGUCAGUUCAAGAAGACGAGAUGAAAAAUUUAAAAGAAAAGCUGAACAAGUCCCGCCUCAAGAUCAAACGACUUAAUGAAAAAAAAAAAAAACAAUGUGACAGGGUGUCACAAAGACAGUUUCUAAGCAAAUUGACACUGUUUAGAAAUUAAUAAAUUUGUAUUUAUUGUAAAUAUAAUGUACAUAAUUAAUAACGUGUGAA
This is a long non-coding RNA of Pectinophora gossypiella (pink bollworm), 669 nucleotides long. RefSeq lists it as uncharacterized. NCBI's taxonomy places the organism in Eukaryota, Metazoa, Arthropoda, Insecta, Lepidoptera, Gelechiidae. The record is from RefSeq and is a predicted model, not a curated record. The transcript has 3 exons.